This 361-nucleotide long non-coding RNA is filed under the name Equus asinus (donkey). Its description in RNAcentral is "lncRNA (ENSEASG00005029878.1)". Lineage: Eukaryota; Metazoa; Chordata; Mammalia; Perissodactyla; Equidae. The record is from RNAcentral.
GGCAUGUGGGAUGCUGCCUCAGCAUGGCCUAAUGAGCGGUGCCAUGUCCGCGCCCAGGAUCCGAACCGGCGAAACCCUGGGCCGCCAAAGCAGAGUGCGCGAACUUCAUCACUCGGCCACAGGGGCAGCCCCUUUAGUGAUUACUCUUAAAUUUUAAACUGGUUUUACAAGUGUCAGCUUUAAUUCUUGCAAAUUAAGUUGGGACUCGUGCUAUAUCUUUAGCUCCACGAGGGAGGCAGGAUUCUCGUUGCACUCGCUUCCAGGUGAAGAAGCUGAGGCUUAGAACGGCAAGGUCAGGUGCCCAGGUUUACACAGUGGAGAUUCUUGAGAAAGUCCAAGCAUUUUCACCAAAGGCUGUUAU